GCCAGCCCUGCGCCCCGGGGCCGCGGCUGUGCCUGACCGCAGCGGGGCCGGAGAGGUGGCGGUCGGGCCCGGGCCAUGGAGCCGGGGCGCGGCCCCCGCGGCGUUGCUGCAGAAAUCAAAGGCGGAAGAGAAAAUCAGAUUUCGUAUUUGAAAAUAUCAAAACUAGCAUUGGCUUUUGCAAUUAUCCACUCAAAACCACCAGGGAAGAGUUCCAAAGAAUACACAGAGUACCUUGCCAGAACUGUAUCCGAACAAGAUUUUGGAUGGAAAUGGAAAGUGGAAGUCCUGGAAGCUGAAGUUCUUCGAUUACAACAGGAACUUCUUUUGAACAGGAUCUCUCCAAGAUUCUGCUUGGAAAAUAGAAAACAGGAUACCUCUGCUGAAACUCUUCUGGGUCAGGAAUCUAUAAAUCCUACAAGUUACUCGAGCCAGCUAGAAGACUCUGGAUGUGAUGUCUAUAAUGACUCUGCAUUUGAUUCUUUAGGCAUAGCUUCAGAUUUUCACCAAUCUGAGCAUAAUUUCAACACUUCUAAACAUUGGUUGGAAAGAGUUCCUCCCCUGAAUCUUUGCCAUACUAGCAAGGAGCAAUCUCUGACUGCUCCAGUGCAUUUUUUGCAACGUUUGCUUGAAAUAAGAAAACUGUCAGAAAGAGGAGUUCUUCAAGCAGACUUCUCAGAGCUUGAGAAUGAUUCUUUCACCAUAUGCAAUUCAGUGUCUCAGUUGCUUGAUGGACUGACUUUUUUUUACAACAGCCCUAAAUUCCCAGCUCCAGGUUUCCUUACUGAAGGGGUUUGUGUUUUGCUCAGUUUAAUAACUGAUACGAAAUUAUCAAAUCAUGUUUUGAAGAAGUGUUUCAAGAAGAUAGAAGAAUUUAAGAAAAAUCUAAUUCAAGUUAUUUUAGGAAAUAGGAGUGUCAAUAGGUUUCAGGCACUGCAUUCUGUAUCACAAACGCUGGGUUUGCUAGGAGGGAACAACAUACUAAGAAAUUCUUUAAUACCCCUUCUCCUAUCGGGAGUCCGUCAGUUUGCUGAGCAGUUGUUGCAGGCUCACCAGACUGUUAGCUCCAGAGUAGCCAGGAGGAGGUAACACCAGAAGUUUGGGGCUGAAGAGGGCAAGGCACUUUUAAGCUUGAAAACUCUUCCUUGAAAAUAAGAAGUAAUUCUAGAUAAUAGACCAUUUUUUCCUGUGAAGAGGAAGACAUAAGUGUCCACAGUUUUCACGGAAGCCAGCAUAGGCUUUGCUUUGAAUUUAUGCAUUUCUGUGUAAUAGCAGGCAUUGUAAACUCAUGUCCUAGACAGCCAUGAAUUCAUUAGCAGCUAGAUUGAAAAGAUUCUUUCUUAAAACUAGAAAAGCAUUACCUCAUUCUAAAAGCAUUUAUGAAGUUAAAGUAAUAUUUGUGGUAUGUGUGGGAUUAUAGCAAUGAUUGUCAUAAAAAGAAGAAAGUUUUAAUUCUGUCUUCAGAAGAGACUGAAUACCACACAUUUCAUGCCCAUGCAUAUAACAAGAACAGAAAAAAUACUGAAAGACAUUUCUUCUAAUUGAGCAUCGUCCAUUCUCUAUAGUAAUAGAAGCAAGAACACUUUUCAAAAAGAAAAGCAAACCAAAAAAACCAAAUCACAGCCAAACACCUGUAGGCAUAAAAGAAACAAAUUAGGAUUGUAGUGCCAUUAUAUGGAUUUAAAACUGCUAUUCCUAGUAAAAGCAGGGAAGUACUUUAAGAAACUAUAAAAAAUAAACAAGAUCAUUAUUUGCAAUAUUAAAGAACAUUGUCUGAAUCACAAACCUUAUUUUCUUCUACGUUUCAUGAUUCUGCUAGUGAAUGCUUUGGCCAACUUUUGGAAUGUGUCAUGCUACUUUAUUCUGCAUGGUGGUUGCUCAAGAACUCUGUUUAGCUUGGAAGAAGAAUCUACUUAAAUUUGAGUGUCUGAAUUCAAUUAAUUAGAAGUUGGUACCUAUGUUUUUGUAAUUUGAAGUCAAUUCCAGUCUGUGGGUUAUCCAAGAUACAGUCUUCCAUGGUCAUGGGUUAUUAAAAAUUAAUUAUCAUGCAAAAGACAGCUCUUUCUAAAUCCGUCUGUUUCUCUAGAGUGUAGAUACCACUGUAGAAAAAGUAGAGGAAGUUAACUUCCAGGGAAAGCAUAAAGCUGCUGAGAUUCUCCUUGUACAUGAUUUAAGAUUAACAAAAAGAAAGACAGUUUCUGCUCCCCUAAUGACUUCAGAGAGUCACGUGGGAAUUAAAAUGCCUACAGAAUUAUCUUUUGUAUGGGAUAAUUUUUUUUAUUUGCUAUACAGCAUAACUAAUCACCUUUAAAGUGUAACUUGUGAAAUAAUGGAAAAAUUAUUAAUAUAUUUCUCAAAAUUCGUCUGUU
RNA transcript from Zonotrichia leucophrys gambelii, 2366 nucleotides. It is a transcript of the gene named meiotic double-stranded break formation protein 4, with no coding region annotated. The record is from RefSeq and is a predicted model, not a curated record. The transcript has 6 exons. Lineage: Eukaryota; Metazoa; Chordata; Aves; Passeriformes; Passerellidae.